Molecule: ribosomal RNA, 396 nt
Filed under: uncultured bacterium
Lineage: Bacteria
Description: bacterial SSU rRNA
Rfam family: Bacterial small subunit ribosomal RNA
Source: RNAcentral
CUACCCUUGACAUGUAUGGAACCUGGCUGAGAGGUCGGGGUGCCCGAAAGGGAGCCAUAACACAGGUGCUGCAUGGCUGUCGUCAGCUCGUGUCGUGAGAUGUUGGGUUAAGUCCCGCAACGAACGCAACCCUUGUCCCUAGUUGCUACGCAAGAGCACUCUAGGGAGACUGCCGGUGACAAACCGGAGGAAGGUGGGGAUGACGUCAAGUCCUCAUGGCCCUUAUGGGUAGGGCUUCACACGACAUACAAUGGUCGGAACAGAGGGUCGCCAAGCCGCGAGGUGGAGCCAAUCCCAGAAAACCGAUCGUAGUCCGGAUCGCAGUCCGCAACUCGACUGCGUGAAGUCGGAAUCGCUAGUAAUCGCGAAUCAGAAUGUCGCGGUGAAUACGUUCCC